AAUAUUGGACAAUGGGCGCAAGCCUGACCCCGCCAUGCCGCGUGAGUGAUGAAGGCCCUAGGGUUGUAAAGCUCUUUCAUCGGGGAAGAUAAUGACGGUAACCGAAGAAGAAGCACUGGCCAACUCCGUACCAGCAGCCGCGGUAAUACGAAGGGGGCUAGCGUUGGUCGGAAUUACUGGGCGUAAAGCGCACGUAGGCAGAUUGGUCAGUUAGGGGUGAAAUCCCAGGGCUCAACCCUGGAACUGCCUUUAAUACUGCCGGUCUAGAGUUCGAGAGAGGGGAGUGGAAUUCCGAGUGUAGGGGUGAAAUUCGUAGAUAUUCGGAGGAACUCCAGUGGCGAAGGCGGCUCACUGGCUCGAUACUGACGCUGAGGUGCGAAAACGUGGGGAGCAAACA
This 397-nucleotide ribosomal RNA is filed under the name uncultured bacterium. Its description in RNAcentral is "partial 16S ribosomal RNA". It matches the Rfam family "Bacterial small subunit ribosomal RNA", at positions 360 to 774 of the family's 1533-position model. The record is from RNAcentral.